GUUGUUUUUCAUGUCUGCAGGUUGAAGCAACUUCAUUAACGUGAUAUUUAGCCCCUGGAAUGCUAAUGUUACCAGAGGAUCCCUGUCGAUAAACGUGAAUUUUACCUCCUGGAAUGCAAUUUUUACCGGGGAACUCACCUCAACACGUGAUUGGGUUGGUUUACAGUAGCAAUUGGGUGGGUUUUGUUUGCGAAAAACUGGCAACCUUGGCCCAUAAGAGGUAGGUUAAGUAGGCUUAGUGUAAGUGGUAGGUUAACUAUAGAUUUGAGCUCAUGUUUAUGAAAAUAUGGGCUUUUAAUGUCAUCUUUUGUGUAGAUAAGCUUUUUUUUAUAUAAAGGUUUUCUAUUGCUGGCCGUUUGUGCAUGUAUGAGUGGAAGUAAGCUGAUUAGAUAAACUAUAAUGUUAAAAGUAUGCACUGUGUAGUUAAUUAGAUACGUCAUUUAUAUAGAGUGUGAAAAUGGACAGAAACUUAAAACAGGUUUUGAUGUUUCAUGGUAAGAAAAGUAGUAAUCUUUUCAAAUGGUGGAUUGUAUUGUAUACCCAGAAUGCAAUGCACAAUGAUGUAGAUUCCCACUUUUAUAUACCCAAGGUACUCAACUCAACUUUAUUUAUAAAGCACUUUCAACAUCACGACUGGACCCAAAGUGCUGUACAGAGAAAGAUAAAAGAAAACAGGGUUAGGUGGGAACUUCCUGGUGGGAACUUCUUGCAUUACAGUCUCCCCUUGAGCGGGGCUCCAGUGCGGGAACCAGGGUGGAGUCAUCAAGGAUCCAGCUUAUUAUUGGCACAUUGGACAGUACAGAAAGCGCACAAGUGGGAGAGAGUGGAGGGGACGGCAUCAGAAAGGACCUAG
Long non-coding RNA from Cyprinus carpio carpio, 853 nucleotides. The record is from Ensembl. Lineage: Eukaryota; Metazoa; Chordata; Actinopteri; Cypriniformes; Cyprinidae.